GUCGUUUUAGUAUAGUGGUGAGUAUUUCCGCCUGUCACGCGGACGACCGGGUUCGAUCCCUGGCAACGGUG
Transfer RNA from Vigna angularis (adzuki bean), 71 nucleotides. It matches the Rfam family "tRNA". Rfam says of the family: Transfer RNA (tRNA) molecules are approximately 80 nucleotides in length. Their secondary structure includes four short double-helical elements and three loops (D, anti-codon, and T loops). NCBI's taxonomy places the organism in Eukaryota, Viridiplantae, Streptophyta, Magnoliopsida, Fabales, Fabaceae. The record is from Rfam.